This 499-nucleotide ribosomal RNA is filed under the name uncultured bacterium. RNAcentral describes it as "partial 16S ribosomal RNA". It matches the Rfam family "Bacterial small subunit ribosomal RNA", at positions 28 to 507 of the family's 1533-position model. The record is from RNAcentral.
GACGAACGCUGGCGGCGUGCCUAAUACAUGCAAGUCGAGCGAAGUUUUUCUGGUGCUUGCACUAGAAAAACUUAGCGGCGAACGGGUGAGUAACACGUAAAGAACCUGCCUCAUAGACUGGGACAACUAUUGGAAACGAUAGCUAAUACCGGAUAACAGUAUUUCUCGCAUGAGAGAUAUUUAAAAGUUGGUUAUGCUAACACUAUGAGAUGGCUUUGCGGUGCAUUAGCUAGUUGGUGGGGUAAAGGCCCACCAAGGCGACGAUGCAUAGCCGACCUGAGAGGGUGAUCGGCCACACUGGGACUGAGGCACGGCCCAGACUCCUACGGGAGGCAGCAGUAGGGAAUCUUCCGCAAUGGGCGAAAGCCUGACGGAGCAACGCCGCGUGAGUGAAGAAGGAUUUCGGUUCGUAAAGCUCUGUUGUUAGGGAAGAAUGGAUAUGUAGUAACUAUACAUGUAAGAGACGGUACCUAACCAGAAAGCCACGGCUAACUACGUG